This 429-nucleotide ribosomal RNA is filed under the name Gemmatimonadota bacterium. RNAcentral describes it as "Gemmatimonadetes bacterium partial 16S ribosomal RNA". It matches the Rfam family "Bacterial small subunit ribosomal RNA", at positions 355 to 776 of the family's 1533-position model. Lineage: Bacteria; Pseudomonadati; Gemmatimonadota. The record is from RNAcentral.
UAGGGAAUCUUCGGCAAUGGACGAAAGUCUGACCGAGCAACGCCGCGUGAGUGAAGAAGGUUUUCGGAUCGUAAAACUCUGUUGUUAGAGAAGAACAAGGACGUUAGUAACUGAACGUCCCCUGACGGUAUCUAACCAGAAAGCCACGGCUAACUACGUGCCAGCAGCCGCGGUAAUACGUAGGUGGCAAGCGUUGUCCGGAUUUAUUGGGCGUAAAGCGAGCGCAGGCGGUUUCUUAAGUCUGAUGUGAAAGCCCCCGGCUCAACCGGGGAGGGUCAUUGGAAACUGGGAGACUUGAGUGCAGAUGAGGAGAGUGGAAUUCCAUGUGUAGCGGUGAAAUGCGUAGAUAUAUGGAGGAACACCAGUGGCGAAGGCGGCUCUCUGGUCUGUAACUGACGCUGAGGCUCGAAAGCGUGGGGAGCAAACAGG